Molecule: long non-coding RNA, 492 nt
Organism: Nilaparvata lugens (brown planthopper)
Lineage: Eukaryota; Metazoa; Arthropoda; Insecta; Hemiptera; Delphacidae
Exons: 3
Source: RefSeq, a predicted model, not a curated record
CAGUUCUCAGACCUUUGUAUACAUUGGCUAAAGCAGUAAAGUACUAUAAUAUAAAACCUUUGCUAUUACUUCUAGUAAUAUAACUUAUGCAACAAAAUGGUGAAGUCUUGUGCUGCAUACAACUGUACAAAUAAUGUGAAGAAAUGUAAGGGUCUCAGCUUCCACCAUUUUCCCCUUGCAGACAAGAGAAGACUUAGAGAGUGGUUAGUAAAGAUUCGACGAGAGGAAUUUGCUCCAACUGUACACUCUGUAAUCUGCUCACAGCAUUCGAGCCUUCAUGCUUCUGGAACAGUGCCAAUAAAAGACUUUUAAAGCCAUCGGCAAUUCCAACAAUUUUCAAUUUUCCAGGAUCGCUAAAAAAGAAAGAACAAAUGCGACCACCUCCAAGAAAACGAUCUGCAGCUACAGAUGCGGUGAGCGAUUUGUGUGAAGGAGGAGUCCAGGGAGAGGAAUCUGAAGUUUCUAGUGCUUCAAUUAAUAGCAUUCUACAUG